GACGAACGCUGGCGGCGUGCUUAACACAUGCAAGUCGAACGGAAAGGCCCUGCUUUUGUGGGGUGCUCGAGUGGCGAACGGGUGAGUAACACGUGAGUAACCUGCCCUUGACUUUGGGAUAACUUCAGGAAACUGGGGCUAAUACCGGAUAGGAGCUCCUGCUGCAUGGUGGGGGUUGGAAAGUUUCGGCGGUUGGGGAUGGACUCGCGGCUUAAGUGCUUGUUGGUGGGGGAGUGGCUUACCAAGGCUUUGACGGGUAGGCGGACUUGGAGGGUUACCGGCGAGAUUGGGACUAGGCUACGGCGCAAAGUAGUACGGGGGACAGCAGUGGGGAAUAUUGAACAAUGGGCGGGAGCCUGAGGCAGCAACGCCGCGUGCGGGAGGACGGCCUUCGGGUUGUAAACCGCUUUCGCCUGUGACGAAGCGUAAGUGACGGUAAUGGGUAAAGAAGCACCGGCUAACUACGUG
RNAcentral lists this ribosomal RNA (468 nucleotides) under uncultured bacterium. Its description in RNAcentral is "partial 16S ribosomal RNA". It matches the Rfam family "Bacterial small subunit ribosomal RNA", at positions 28 to 507 of the family's 1533-position model. The record is from RNAcentral.